This 254-nucleotide ribosomal RNA is filed under the name uncultured bacterium. RNAcentral describes it as "partial 16S ribosomal RNA". It matches the Rfam family "Bacterial small subunit ribosomal RNA", at positions 524 to 776 of the family's 1533-position model. The record is from RNAcentral.
UACGUAGGGGGCUAGCGUUGUCCGGAAUCAUUGGGCGUAAAGCGCGCGUAGGCGGCCCCGGUAAGUCCGCUCUGAAAGUCCAGGGCUCAACCCUGGAAAGCGGGUGGAUACUGCCGGGCUAGAAUCCGGAAGAGGCGAGUGGAAUUCCUGGUGUAGCGGUGGAAUGCGCAGAUAUCAGGAGGAACACCAAUAGCGAAGGCAGCUCGCUGGGACGGUAUUGACGCUGAGACGCGAAAGCGUGGGGAGCGAACAGG